GUGGGGAAUUUUGGACAAUGGGCGAAAGCCUGAUCCAGCCAUGUCGCGUGCAGGAUGAAGGCCUUCGGGUUGUAAACUGCUUUUGUACGGAACGAAAAGACUCCUUCUAAUAAAGGGGGUCCAUGACGGUACCGUAAGAAUAAGCACCGGCUAACUACGUGCCAGCAGCCGCGGUAAUACGUAGGGUGCAAGCGUUAAUCGGAAUUACUGGGCGUAAAGCGUGCGCAGGCGGUUAUAUAAGACAGAUGUGAAAUCCCCGGGCUCAACCUGGGAACUGCAUUUGUGACUGUAUAGCUAGAGUACGGUAGAGGGGGAUGGAAUUCCGCGUGUAGCAGUGAAAUGCGUAGAUAUGCGGAGGAACACCGAUGGCGAAGGCAAUCCCCUGGACCUGUACUGACGCUCAUGCACGAAAGCGUGGGGAGCAAACAGGAUUAGAUACCCCUGUAGUCC
RNAcentral lists this ribosomal RNA (450 nucleotides) under uncultured bacterium. Its description in RNAcentral is "partial 16S ribosomal RNA". It matches the Rfam family "Bacterial small subunit ribosomal RNA", at positions 354 to 796 of the family's 1533-position model. The record is from RNAcentral.